Molecule: ribosomal RNA, 501 nt
Filed under: Pediococcus sp.
Lineage: Bacteria; Bacillati; Bacillota; Bacilli; Lactobacillales; Lactobacillaceae
Description: bacterial SSU rRNA
Rfam family: Bacterial small subunit ribosomal RNA
Source: RNAcentral
GGUAACCUGCCCAGAAGUAGGGGAUAACACCUGGAAACAGAUGCUAAUACCGUAUAACAGAGAAAACCGCAUGGUUUUCUUUUAAAAGAUGGCUCUGCUAUCACUUCUGGAUGGACCCGCGGCGUAUUAGCUAGUUGGUGAGGUAAAGGCUCACCAAGGCAGUGAUACGUAGCCGACCUGAGAGGGUAAUCGGCCACAUUGGGACUGAGACACGGCCCAGACUCCUACGGGAGGCAGCAGUAGGGAAUCUUCCACAAUGGACGCAAGUCUGAUGGAGCAACGCCGCGUGAGUGAAGAAGGGUUUCGGCUCGUAAAGCUCUGUUGUUAAAGAAGAACGUGGGUAAGAGUAACUGUUUACCCAGUGACGGUAUUUAACCAGAAAGCCACGGCUAACUACGUGCCAGCAGCCGCGGUAAUACGUAGGUGGCAAGCGUUAUCCGGAUUUAUUGGGCGUAAAGCGAGCGCAGGCGGUCUUUUAAGUCUAAUGUGAAAGCCUUCGGC